RNAcentral lists this long non-coding RNA (3315 nucleotides) under Mus musculus (house mouse). RNAcentral's name for it is "long non-coding RNA chr10:111228880-111232195". The record is from RNAcentral. Lineage: Eukaryota; Metazoa; Chordata; Mammalia; Rodentia; Muridae.
UGGCAUCUCAAACAUCUUAGGCUCCUCCAAAGGGCUGGCAUCACUUCUCCAUCUCUGUUCUCUGUAGCACUCUAAGCUCAUGUUGAUCCACUCCACUGCCACUGCUGUUCUUGGUGAUCAUCCCAUGGUAUUAGCAUCUCCAAUACAUUGAGGUCUUCUGCUGCAAUGAGGUUUGACCAAUAACCUCUUAUGGGCUCUCUUCAUGGUGCCAAGUCUCAACUCGUUUGCAUGACCCCUUCAGUCCUGGGCUGUCAACUGCAACUGAGGCUGCACCUUCACCAAUGGCCUUCCCUAGCCUCUCACAGUGCCGAGCCUCAGCUUGUUCUUUAUGACGCCUUCAUGCAUUCAAGACCGGGACUAAAGGUAUAUAGUCCACCAAGCCUGGAUUUAAGUUUUUCUUCACCUAGAAUUUGCUCUGUUCUAGGCUGGCCUUGAAUUCAGAUAUCUGCUUGUCCUUGCCUUCUGGGAUUAAAGGCUUAUACUACCAUGCCUGGACCUAAAUUUAGCUGGAUGGAAUCUUGCUCCAAGGUCAUUACUCCCUUAAUUCAAUGAAAUAUUGUGGAACACAGGAUUCAGCUCCAUUUCACUUUCUGAUGUUCUCUCUCUUUUUUUUUUUUUUUGUUUCUACUUCUUUUUUUUUUUCCAUUUUUAUUAGGUAUUUAGCUCAUUUACAUUUCCAAUGCUAUACCAAAAGUCCCCCAUACCCACCCACCCCGACUCCCCUACCCAUCCACUCCCCCUUUUUGGCCUUGGCGUUCCCCUGUACUGGGGCAUAUAAAGUUUGCAAGUCCAAUGGGCCUCUCUUUCCAGUGAUGGCCGACUAGGCCAUCUUUUGAUACAUAUGCAGCUAGAGUCAAGAGCUCCGGGGUACUGCUUAGUUCAUAAUGUUGUUCCACCUAUAGGGUUGCAGGUCCCUUUAGCUCCUUGGAUACUUUCUCUAGCUCCUCCAUUGGGAGCCCUGUGAUCCAUCCAUUAGCUGACUGUGAGCAUCCACUUCUGUGUUUGCUAGGCCCCGGCAUAGUCUCACGAGACAGCUACAUCUGGGUCCUUUCGAUAAAAUCUUGCUAGGGUAUGCAAUGGUGUCAGCGUUUGGAUGCUGAUUAUGGGGUGGAUCCCUGGAUAUGGCAGUCUCUACAUGGUCCAUCCUUUCAUCUCAGCUCCAAACUUUGUCUCUGUAACUCCUUCCAUGGGUGUUUUGUUCCCAAUUCUAAGGAGGGGCAUAGUGUCCACACUUCAGUCUUCAUUCUUCUUGAGUUUCAUGUGUUUAGCAAAUUGUACCUUAUAUCUUGGGAAUCCUAGGUUUGGGGCUAAUAUCCACUUAUCAGUGAGUACAUAUUGUGUGAGUUCCUUUGUGAAUGUGUUACCUCACUCAGGAUGAUGCCCUCCAGGUCCAUCCAUUUGGCUAGGAAUUUCAUAAAUUCAUUCUUUUUAAUAGCUGAGUAGUACUCCAUUGUGUAGAUGUACCACAUUUUCUGUAUCCAUUCCUCUGUUGAGGGGCAUCUGGGUUCUUUCCAGCUUCUGGCUAUUAUAAAUAAGGCACUCAGACUAUAUAUUUUGUAUUUUUCCUUUCUCAGUUUGCUGUGCUUGUUCAAAAUGCUCUUCAUCAGAUUGACCCAGAGAACAAAGUUUUUUGGGCUUUUUUGAGACUUCCUUAGGGUCAAUGCAAUUAAUAUAAAUCUCUUUACCUUAGCUUCAGGCAGUCUCUUCAGACAGUGGCAAAAAGCAGCCAUGUUCUUCAACAAAACAUCACAAAAACAGUCUCUUGGCCACUUAUUAAAGUUCCCCACUGAAACUUCUUGGGCCAGCAGGCCUACUAGUUCAAAUGACCCUUAGCACCACUGUCUUCCAUAUUCCUAUUAGGUUGGCCCAUUAAGCCGCACUUAAAGCAUUCCAGGGCUUUCCAAAUCCAAAGUCCCCAAAUCCACAUCCUUCCAAACAAAAGCAUGGCCAGAUCUAUUACCUCAAUACUCCAGUCCCUGGUACCAACUUCUGUCUUAAUUAGGCUUUACUGCAGUGAACAGACACUAUGACCAAGACAACACUUACAAAGGGCAACAUUUAAUUGGGGAUGGCUUACAGGUUCAGAGGUUCAGUCCAUUAUCAUCAAGGUGGGAACAUGGCAGCAUCCAGGCAGGUAUGGUGCAGGAGGAGCUGAGAGUUCUACAUCUUCAUCUGAAGGCUGCUAGCAGAAUACAGACUUCCAGGUAGCUAGGAUGAGGGUCUUAAAGCCUACAUCUACAGUGAUGGACCUACUCCAACAAGGCCACACCUACUCCAGCAGGGCCACAUCUUCUAAUAGUGCCACUCCCUAGGCCGAGCAUAUACAAACCAUCACAAAAUAGUUUUUAUUCUUUUUUCUUAGUAUGCACCUAUAAGAGUUUUUCUAGGGAUGAGAGCAAGUUUGUGUUGCAUUCAUCAAGUAUGUGCUAGGUCCAAAUUGUUUUCCAGGUGCUAGUAUCAGUUUCUACUCCAGCAGUGCCCAGAGAGAUUUUGAUGACCCAUCUUAUUUGAUAUUUUCAAGCUUAUUUAUUUUUUUUAGUUCUGAUGACUGUAAAAUAUCCCACUGUGAACCUGAUUUCUACCUCUCUGAUUUUAAGUAGAAAGAAUAUUUCUAUGUACUCAUUGGAUAUUUGGUUUUCUGUUGCAGUAUUGCUCAGUUCUUCCUUCGAGUUUUCUGUUGCUGUCGGUCUUUUUAAUUGGUGUAUAGGAGCUCUAGGUUUAAAACACUUCAGGUACAGACUUUUAAAUAUAUGGCUGUGAUAUAUUCUCCUGUUGAGUGUUUUUUUCAGGUUCAUUGUGUGAUUGAUCAUCUGAUGACCAAACUCAUAAUUUUAAUGUGGUAGUGGUCGUGUGUAUCACAAAAAGUGUUCCCUUUUUGUUGGAACAGUGAGCCUGGGCUGGCAGCUGAGACAGGAGAUUUAGUCAGGGAGCGACUGUAACUGGAGAAGUAAAUUUGGGAGCUACCUGUUCAUAGGCUUUUGGUUUUUAUUUUGGUUUGAUAAUUUUACUUUGGGGUACAUACUUUAUUAUACCUUUUCUUGGGGGAUAAAUGAGAGUGUUUUAUAUUUUGGUUUUGAAGUAUAAGGAGAUAAAUAUAAUUUUGAAAACUUUAGGACAGUAAGAAAUAUGUAAAACAAUUGGAUUUUUUUUAAAGAUAAAAUGAUGGGGCUGGAAAGAUUCCUCUCCACUAAGAGCUCUGGCUAUUCUUCCAGAGGUCCUGAGUUCAAUUCCCAGCAACCACAUGGUGGUUCACAACCCUCUGAAAUGGGUCUGAUGACUUCUUAUGGUGUGUCUGAAGACCGCUACAGUGUAUUC